Molecule: transfer RNA, 81 nt
Filed under: Deltaproteobacteria bacterium
Lineage: Bacteria; Pseudomonadati; Myxococcota; Myxococcia
Description: tRNA-Leu
Rfam family: tRNA
About the family: Transfer RNA (tRNA) molecules are approximately 80 nucleotides in length.
Source: RNAcentral
GGGGGUGUGGCGGAAUGGUAUACGCGCUCGACUCAAAAUCGAGUGGCUUCGGUCUUGAGGGUUCGAGUCCCUCCACCCCUA